UCCUUUGACGUUAGCGGCGGACGGGUGAGUAACACGUGGGUAACCUACCUAUAAGACUGGGAUAACUUCGGGAAACCGGAGCUAAUACCGGAUAAUAUUUCGAACCGCAUGGUUCGAUAGUGAAAGAUGGUUUUGCUAUCACUUAUAGAUGGACCCGCGCCGUAUUAGCUAGUUGGUAAGGUAACGGCUUACCAAGGCGACGAUACGUAGCCGACCUGAGAGGGUGAUCGGCCACACUGGAACUGAGACACGGUCCAGACUCCUACGGGAGGCAGCAGUAGGGAAUCUUCCGCAAUGGGCGAAAGCCUGACGGAGCAACGCCGCGUGAGUGAUGAAGGUCUUCGGAUCGUAAAACUCUGUUAUUAGGGAAGAACAUACGUGUAAGUAACUAUGCACGUCUUGACGGUACCUAAUCAGAAAGCCACGGCUAACUACGUGCCGCAGCCGCGGUAAUACGUAGGUGGCAAGCGUUAUCCGGAAUUAUUGGGCGUAAAGCGCGCGUAGGCGGUUUUUUAAGUCUGAUGUGAAAGCCCACGGCUCAACCGUGGAGGGUCAUUGGAAACUGGAAAACUUGAGUGCAGAAGAGGAAAGUGGAAUUCCAUGUGUAGCGGUGAAAUGCGCAGAGAUAUGGAGGAACACCAGUGGCGAAGGCGACUUUCUGGUCUGUUACUGACGCUGAUGUGCGAAAGCGUGGGGAUCCAACAGGAUUAGAUACCCUGGUAGUCCCCGCCCGUAACGAUGAGUGCUUGGUGUUGGGGGGGUUCCGCCCCUUAGUGCUGCCGCUUACGCAUUAAGCACUCCGCCUGGGGAGUACGACCGCAAGGUUGAAAACUCAAGGAAUUGACGGGGACCCGCACAAGCGGUGGAGCAUGUGGUUUAAUUCGAAGCAACGCGAAGAACCUUACCAAAUCUUGACAUCCUUUGACAACUCUAGAGAUAGAGCCUUCCCCUUCGGGGGACAAAGUGACAGGUGGUGCAUGGUUGUCGUCAGCUCGUGUCGUGAGAUGUUGGGUUAAGUCCCGCAACGAGCGCAACCCUUAAGCUUAGUUGCCAUCAUUAAGUUGGGCACUCUAAGUUGACUGCCGGUGACAAACCGGAGGAAGGUGGGGAUGACGUCAAAUCAUCAUGCCCCUUAUGAUUUGGGCUACACACGUGCUACAAUGGACAAUACAAAGGGCAGCGAAACCGCGAGGUCAAGCAAAUCCCAUAAAGUUGUUCUCAGUUCGGAUUGUAGUCUGCAACUCGACUACAUGAAGCUGGAAUCGCUAGUAAUCGUAGAUCAGCAUGCUACGGUGAAUACGUUCCCGGGUCUUGUACACACCGCCCGUCACACCACGAGAGUUUGUAACACCCGAAGCCGGUGGAGUAACCAUU
RNAcentral lists this ribosomal RNA (1374 nucleotides) under Staphylococcus haemolyticus. RNAcentral's name for it is "bacterial SSU rRNA". It matches the Rfam family "Bacterial small subunit ribosomal RNA", at positions 82 to 1443 of the family's 1533-position model. Lineage: Bacteria; Bacillati; Bacillota; Bacilli; Caryophanales; Staphylococcaceae. The record is from RNAcentral.